CUAAUUAAACUCCUAGAGAUUGUAUAGAAAAAUUGAACUCCUGACUACCCAUAUUAGAGGGCACCUGCAGUCCGUCCCAAGUAAGCGUGUUGUGUGGCAGCCUGUGCUGCUCCUGUCAAGAGUAGGCGUGAACGGAGAGACAACGCAUAACAGUGACGCAAACUCAAGCGGGAGAUAGCAAUAUGGAGGGGCUCUGAAAACAGAGAGAUAAAUAUGGCGGCAAUCUGCUCCCGAUCCGGAAUCACGCCGCGCGAUGGCAUCCGGUCCAGAUCUUGGGGAGGCGUUGUUCUGCGGGAAGACAAAAAUAGGCAGCCGACCGAUCACCAGAUAUUACUUACUAUGAUUUGCUUUAACAAGGGGACAAAUAGUUUAAUUAGUGAUCAACUGACAAGAAUCUAAACAAUCUAUGACAUUCAUCUCCUAAGACACAUCCAACAGUUGUGAAGAAGCAGUUACAUGAGGGCGAGGAUUGGAACAAGGACUGGGAGAGGAUGAGGAACAUACCUAGUACAAAUCCAAUCUCACUUCCUUCUUUUUUCAUCAUUAAUUACCAACAUUGCCAUCAGGAACAUCUACAAAAUAUGUGUUCUCAAUUCCUGGAUAUCCCAUGAGAAAUAGCAGCAAUAAAAAAAGAUGAAACUGGACUUAAAUAGUUUGUUUAGUGUUGUAAAAAUUCAAUGUGUAUGUAAACAAAAGAACAGUACACAGGUAACGAACUACCAUUAAAAGAACCAGUUGUUGUACAAAAUAUAAUCAAUUAGGGUGUAAAAACAUCAUCGUGAACCUGCACCAAAUCCAGAAACUAAAGAACAUUAUCUAAAGAAGAAGACAUAUGUAACACAUGAAGAAUGUAAUCUUCUGGCAAUAACUACUAUCUGGCACACCAAAAUAACAUAGCCUGCUGCAGAACAAAUAAACAUGACUAUGUAGAGAGAGAGAGACCAUCUUUUUCUUCACCAAGCACUUCCUCAAGAUUCAUCCCCUUCUCCUUUUCUCUCAGACCUGCACACAUGUGUUUAGAAAAACCAUAAAUCGAGGAGUAAAAACUGGGGAAGAAAAUGAGACCUUGCUGCUCCUUGCCUCAUGGCUAUCCCUCUCAUCCAGAAGCACAACAACCUGCCAUGUUCUUCUCAAGAUCAAAAUAGUAGUAAUCAAAUUUCACAAAUAAAACAUCAACAAACAAUGGUUAAUUAGUAAAGAACCAAUUUUAUCUAUUGCAGCGACACAGAUUUCUUAGCUUGCGUACAACUCUUAUGUGAUAAGAAGUCAAUUCUGCUGGGUAGUAAGUACCUCGUGGAGAUGGUUGGCAUGGCGAAGCUAUAGGAGCCACCCAUCACGACGAGGAGGCGAGAUACGAAGAACAUUUGCAGUAAGGUGUUUAUGC
This 1384-nucleotide long non-coding RNA is filed under the name Triticum aestivum (bread wheat). RNAcentral describes it as "long non-coding RNA (TAES_LNC014317)". The record is from RNAcentral. Lineage: Eukaryota; Viridiplantae; Streptophyta; Magnoliopsida; Poales; Poaceae.